UACGAAGGGGGCUAGCGUUGUUCGGAAUUACUAGGCGUAAAGCGCACGUAGGCGGGUCGUUAAGUCAGGGGUGAAAUCCCGGAGCUCAACUCCGGAACUGCCUUUGAUACUGGCGAUCUUGAGAUCGGAAGAGGUGAGUGGAAUUCCCAGUGUAGAGGUGAAAUUCGUAGAUAUUGGGAAGAACACCAGUGGCGAAGGCGGCUCACUGGUCCGAUACUGACGCUGAGGUGCGAAAGCGUGGGGAGCAAACAGG
RNAcentral lists this unclassified non-coding RNA (253 nucleotides) under uncultured Alphaproteobacteria bacterium. Its description in RNAcentral is "contains 16S-23S intergenic spacer region". It matches the Rfam family "Bacterial small subunit ribosomal RNA", at positions 524 to 776 of the family's 1533-position model. Lineage: Bacteria; Pseudomonadati; Pseudomonadota; Alphaproteobacteria. The record is from RNAcentral.